RNAcentral lists this ribosomal RNA (498 nucleotides) under uncultured bacterium. RNAcentral's name for it is "partial 16S ribosomal RNA". It matches the Rfam family "Bacterial small subunit ribosomal RNA", at positions 28 to 523 of the family's 1533-position model. The record is from RNAcentral.
GAUGAACGCUAGCGGCAGGCCUAAUACAUGCAAGUCGAGGGAGAAUGUUGGAUUCGUCUGACAUGAAACCGGCGCACGGGUGCGUAACACGUAUGCAACCUACCUUUAACUGGGGUAUAGCUCAGAGAAAUCUGAAUUAAUCCCCCAUAAGACUACGACAUGGCAUCAUGAUGUAGUUAAAGCUCCGGCGGUUAAGGAUGGGCAUGCGGUACAUUAGCUAGUUGGUGAGGUAAUGGCUCACCAAGGCUACGAUGUAUAGGGGGUCUGAGAGGAGGAGCCCCCACACUGGUACUGAGACACGGACCAGACUCCUACGGGAGGCAGCAGUAGGGAAUAUUGGUCAAUGGACGCAAGUCUGAACCAGCCAUGCCGCGUGAAGGAUGAAGGCCCUAUGGGUCGUAAACUUCUUUUAUUAGGGAAGAAAAAACGGGAUGCGUCCUGUACUGACGGUACUUAAUGAAUAAGGAUCGGCUAACUUCGUGCCAGCAGCCGCCGUAA